RNAcentral lists this ribosomal RNA (244 nucleotides) under uncultured bacterium. RNAcentral describes it as "partial 16S ribosomal RNA". It matches the Rfam family "Bacterial small subunit ribosomal RNA", at positions 111 to 353 of the family's 1533-position model. The record is from RNAcentral.
UAACGCGUGGGGAACCUGCCCUAUACAGGGGGAUAACAGCUGGAAACGGCUGCUAAUACCGCAUAAGCGCACAGAAUCGCAUGAUUCAGUGUGAAAAGCCCUGGCAGUAUAGGAUGGUCCCGCGUCUGAUUAGCUGGUUGGUGAGGUAACGGCUCACCAAGGCGACGAUCAGUAGCCGGCUUGAGAGAGUGAACGGCCACAUUGGGACUGAGACACGGCCCAAACUCCUACGGGAGGCAGCAUG